UGAUCUUUGUUCUUAAAAACAGCCAGUGAGGAGUUUGUGAGCUGUGCUGUAACAAGAAGUCUCCAGGAGCCCUCAGUGCAGGGGUUCUGCACCCAGCAUCACCUCAUCUGCUGCCACUCAGAAAGGGAAUUUGAGACAAACCAUGUUUGAAAUCCAGAAAAAAAUUGUUCCCGAUGCCGUGAGUUACAUCAUGUGUACAAGGACUGGGAAUGUGAAAUUUGGCCCAAAGUUGUGUCUGUCACUUAAAUGUACUGAAAUAAAGUCUGGUGUGUUCUCUGCCUUCCUGGGAUGCCAGAAUGGGAUUCUCUCUGGACCAAAACUGAACGGCAAAAAGAAUCCAGGUUUUCCUUUCCCUGCACUGAUAAGAUUCUCUCCUGCAGAGACAACAACCACACAAUAGCCCAGCAAAGGAUGGCUGGGUGGGAAUAAGACACCACAGCGAUGGUCAGAUCCAAGUCCAGGACCCUGAACUCCAGGCAAGCAGGUUUUAUUUCACAUAGUGGCACCUAAAAUUCAUCUGGCACAUCCCAUUGCAUUCUGACUUCCUGUGCAGGGCUGGGGGGCAUUUGCAGAUCCAGAACAUCCUCUCAGCUGGCCAGGCAGUGAUGGUUUCUGUCAGCUGCAGCCCAGAGCAGUGCUGUUUACCAACACUGCACACACACAGGCUCAUUGGGUAUCUACUCCAUUUGUGCACAGGAAUAACACCCACAUUUCUUUAGCUUUGUCUCCUACAACAAAGAGAACAAAAUGUGUUUCUGGUUAUGUGAUAGAUACGGAGUCAAGGGAAGCCCAGCAUUCCCAGACUGUAACCAAUGGAAAUUCUGAAAGGCUCUCUUGCCCUUUGCAACCUCAACAAGUUGAAAUCUCUUGUGUAUUUUGUAUUAGCUUGUCUUGUACAGUAAUUAACUUAUAUAUGACUCCUAGGGGACAAGUGAUUAUGGUUUAUUUCCAGAUGACUCAUGAGCAAGUCUGCAGAAAGAGAGUUUGUGCUGUUCAGAAAACAGGAAAAUGGAAUAUUUACUGUUGCUGAUGAUACCAGUUCUGGCUGCUGAGCUCAGGCACCAGGCAGAGGGGCUGGAAGCUUGUCAGCUUGAGUGCAAGGGACUGUUGAAACCCUGCAAAUGCUCAAGCUCUGCUCCCAGAGCAUUCAAUUAGGACUAGGAAUUACAGCAAAGAUCCAGGCAGUGCUCCUGCGCUGUGUGAAUAAUAUAUAUGUGUGUGUGUAGCAAGAAUAAAAAUCAUUCAA
Molecule: long non-coding RNA, 1246 nt
Filed under: Junco hyemalis (dark-eyed junco)
Lineage: Eukaryota; Metazoa; Chordata; Aves; Passeriformes; Passerellidae
Description: lncRNA (ENSJHYG00000002388.1)
Source: RNAcentral